UUUGUUGUAUUCAGUUAAAGGUGGAGCUUAAUGAAAUGUCAUCAAAAGAAUUUGACAGAAAAAGUAAGAGAGAGAAAACUGGAAGAGCCAUUAAUCUAAAUCUACAUCCAAAUUCCAUAAGUGUGUUUCUAGAGUAAAGGACUCAUAUAUUCACACACUAUAACAGACGCACAGAAUAAUGUAUCCUUUUUGAAAUUCUUUCUUAGAUUUGACUGAGAGGCUUUUUCCAAUAUAAACUUUACUAUCAGAUUUCCCCUGAAGACUCCAUAUUAUACUAUCUGACUUCUGAAAUCUUAUCUUGCAGGGUCUGCCUGGUCCUCAAGGCCCGAUCGGUCCACCUGGAGAGAAAGUGAGUUUGUGGAUGAGAGCUGGCCAACCCAGCAGCCAUCGUCUUUGUUAUUACAGACGGCAUUUUUCUGCCCUAACCCUAUAAACGAUUCAACAGACUCCUCGGUUUCUGAGCUGUAGGUUGCUUGCAGAUCACUGCUGACUAGAGGAAAACCACACACGCACACACACACACACACACACACACACACACACACACACACACACACACACACACCUCAAGACUCACUACUGCUUUGACAAGCAAAAGAUAUGCUUACACACAUAACUGUCAUUGGUAAGAGUCUCAGACAAGCAUUUUGUCAGGUCUCCUGGAAGGAUGCCAGAGAGUCUGAAAUGUGACUCCAGAAGUGGUAGAGUGUUUCCAGACAUACCGUAUGAUUAGACCUCUUCUUUACCAAGAGGAAAAAGAUGAUAAUGAAGUGCUUUAGGAUUGAACUGCUUAUAAAAGUUGCCCAGCGAAUCACUUGGGCACACCAGUAGUCACAGCUUUAAUUGUGUGUUUUUUUUCUCCCUCUUCUUUUUCUUUCUUCUUUUCUCACUUAACCUCUCAUAUAGGGUCCCAGUGGGAAACAGGGGCUCCAUGGACUGGCUGGGGCUGAUGGGCCUCCUGGUCAUCCUGGGAAAGAGGGUUCUCCCGGGGAGAAAGGAGCAGCUGUGAGUACAUUUUUAGUUUGUCUUGAAAUUAAUUGUUAUUCUAAGUUCCAGUUAUUGAACACAUUUUAAGUGCAAAGCCACGAUACACCCAUAAUUAACACUGUCUGUAAUUAACACUUAAUGUGUGGCCCCUUUAGAAGUUUAAAACCUAAUUCCUCUCUAUUAAUCCUUAUUA
Molecule: long non-coding RNA, 1180 nt
Organism: Cyprinus carpio (common carp)
Lineage: Eukaryota; Metazoa; Chordata; Actinopteri; Cypriniformes; Cyprinidae
Source: Ensembl